GAGGGCACAGCCCCGGGUAUCUGCGGCUCUUUCGGCCACCCUCGGGCUCCUUCAUCGCCCCCCAGCGCAGGGAGCCCCGGGGAGAGGCCCCGCGCAGGGUUCUGGCUGGAUAUGGUGGUGCCAGGCGGCCGCUUGUGCCACCCAGCGCCCUCAGGACCAUCCCGGCGGUGGUGAGGGGAAUUACUUGGCAAAGCUGAUGGUGCACAGGGGACCAGACUCCAAGAUGAAAAGCAAGCCUUGCUGAAAUGUGAAAGCACAGAUUGCACCCUGGAUGAAUGUGGGCAGGAGCUGGAUGAAUAAAGAGGGCUUCACUCACAGCAACAGUUCACCUAAAUCCACUUAAAAUACUUGCUGUAAUAGGAAAAAACCCACCUUUGUCAUGCAGAGAAAGGCAAGACAUCUAAGAAAAAACAUUUGAAAAACUCCCCACCACAAAACUCACCCUGGUAUUGGACUUCUGAAACAGGUUCCAAAGAGCAACUCCAAGUG
Zonotrichia leucophrys gambelii is the source of this 489-nucleotide long non-coding RNA. RefSeq lists it as uncharacterized. Lineage: Eukaryota; Metazoa; Chordata; Aves; Passeriformes; Passerellidae. The transcript is spliced from 3 exons. The record is from RefSeq and is a predicted model, not a curated record.